This is a long non-coding RNA of Cyphomyrmex costatus, 373 nucleotides long. RefSeq lists it as uncharacterized. Lineage: Eukaryota; Metazoa; Arthropoda; Insecta; Hymenoptera; Formicidae. The record is from RefSeq and is a predicted model, not a curated record. The transcript has 3 exons.
CCGCGUUCUGUUUUACAAUUUCCAAACGCCCGGACGACAACUUUUCAUCGUGCUCGAGUCUCCGACGAGAAACGUCUCGCAUGCGCAGAACGACUAGAAUAAUGUAAUAAAGCGUGAUGAUGAAAUAUAUGUAGAAGUGUGUUGUAGGUUAAAUUAGGUCAACUUGUUGGAUACAACCUAACCUAACGCAAAAAUAUUUCAGAAUUGUUCCGUUUCACGAAUCAAUCUCGGUAUGUGACACUUCGUCUGGAUGAACACUCCGGUAUACAGAACGCACCCCAGUAGUUGAUUAAGAAACCAUGUAUAAGGGAAGCAAGGGAGCGUUUACCUCGGAUCUAUAAAUCAUAUGGACAAAUCAUAAUUAAUUAUUCUC